UGGCAGAUUAAGGGAGGCCAAACAUAUGAUGACAGAAGAUGAUUUUACUUUGAGGAGUGGGCACACUGUACAAUAUACAGAUCAUGUAUCAUAGAAAUGUACACUUGAAACCUAUAUAAUCUUAUU
This is a long non-coding RNA of Myotis brandtii (Brandt's bat), 126 nucleotides long. RefSeq lists it as uncharacterized. The record is from RefSeq and is a predicted model, not a curated record. NCBI's taxonomy places the organism in Eukaryota, Metazoa, Chordata, Mammalia, Chiroptera, Vespertilionidae. The transcript has 3 exons.